UUUUCCCAUAUCAGUGAUUUCUGUGAAUGCUACUUUUCAGUAUCUGUUAUUCUUAACUGUGAUUUGUCGCAGUUAAGAAUCGCAGUUAAGGAAUCCAGCUCUUGUAUCCCUCCGCACUCUACCACUGUGAUAUCUGCUACUUCUGCGACUUCUGCUACUUCUGCGACUUCUGCUACUUCUGCGACUUCUGCAAUUUCUGCGACUUCUGCGAUUUCUGCUACUUCUGCGAUUUCUGUGACUCCUGCGAUUUCUGCGACUCACCACCGUAUGAAAAACUUACAUCUGUCCACACAGAAAAUUGCAUCUCAACAAACUUGUCAUUGGUACGCGAACUACAUUUCAGUCACUCAGUAAAGUGAUAACUCAAAAUAUCAUUGUCAACAGAUCUGGAGAAAUUGCCACUGCGUCUUUAGACCGUUUUCGUCAGACGAGAGACACAGUUCUGACUCUGAUUACUGGUUGCUGUACGUAUCUAUCCACAUCAAGGCUGUUGCUUGUGAAGAUUCAAGACAGCUCUUAGAAGAUUUUGCAGUUUAAAAGUGACAUAAUAGUGAAAUAA
Long non-coding RNA from Schistocerca nitens (vagrant locust), 559 nucleotides. RefSeq lists it as uncharacterized. The record is from RefSeq and is a predicted model, not a curated record. NCBI's taxonomy places the organism in Eukaryota, Metazoa, Arthropoda, Insecta, Orthoptera, Acrididae. The transcript is spliced from 3 exons.